Molecule: ribosomal RNA, 274 nt
Filed under: uncultured bacterium
Lineage: Bacteria
Description: partial 16S ribosomal RNA
Rfam family: Bacterial small subunit ribosomal RNA
Source: RNAcentral
CUACGGAGGGUGCAAGCGUUGUUCGGAAUUAUUGGGCGUAAAGAGCAUGUAGGCGGUUCGUUAAGUCUGAUGUGAAAGCCCGGGGCUCAACCCCGGAAGUGCAUUGGAUACUGGCAAACUUGAGUACGGGAGAGGAAAGUGGAAUUUCGAGUGUAGGGGUGAAAUCCGUAGAUAUUCGAAGGAACACCAGUGGCGAAGGCGGCUUUCUGGACCGAUACUGACGCUGAGAUGCGAAAGCGUGGGGAGCAAACAGGAUUAGAAACCCUUGUAGUCC